Molecule: ribosomal RNA, 250 nt
Filed under: uncultured bacterium
Lineage: Bacteria
Description: partial 16S ribosomal RNA
Rfam family: Bacterial small subunit ribosomal RNA
Source: RNAcentral
GAUGAACGCUGGCGGCGUGCUUAACACAUGCAAGUCGAACGGGAAAUAUUUCAUUGAGACUUCGGUGGAUUUGAUCUAUUUCUAGUGGCGGACGGGUGAGUAACGCGUGGGUAACCUGCCUUAUACAGGGGGAUAACAGUCAGAAAUGGCUGCUAAUACCGCAUAAGCGCACAGAGCUGCAUGGCUCAGUGUGAAAAACUCCGGUGGUAUAAGAUGGACCCGCGUUGGAUUAGCUUGUUGGUGGGGUAAC